Etheostoma cragini (Arkansas darter) is the source of this 176-nucleotide long non-coding RNA. RefSeq lists it as uncharacterized. The record is from RefSeq and is a predicted model, not a curated record. Lineage: Eukaryota; Metazoa; Chordata; Actinopteri; Perciformes; Percidae. The transcript is spliced from 4 exons.
AACUCCACUUUUCAGAUUUUUUAGUUCAUGUGUAGAGCCCCUGGUUAAACUUCGAGCAAAGUUUCAUGUUGGGUCUAGCCUUCUUAUGUUUAAAAAUGAGCUAUUUUAAGGCUAGCAUAUUGCCCCCUAGCACUCCCAUUCAAAAAGCCAUUUGACCAAAAAACGAGCUUACGGUA